This 378-nucleotide ribosomal RNA is filed under the name uncultured Pseudomonas sp. Its description in RNAcentral is "bacterial SSU rRNA". It matches the Rfam family "Bacterial small subunit ribosomal RNA", at positions 1002 to 1382 of the family's 1533-position model. Lineage: Bacteria; Pseudomonadati; Pseudomonadota; Gammaproteobacteria; Pseudomonadales; Pseudomonadaceae. The record is from RNAcentral.
AGAGAUGGAUUGGUGCCUUCGGGAACUCUGACACAGGUGCUGCAUGGCUGUCGUCAGCUCGUGCGUGAGAUGUUGGUUAAGUCCCGUAACGAGCGCAACCCUUGUCCUUAGUUACCAGCACGUUAUGGUGGGCACUCUAAGGAGACUGCCGGUGACAACCGGAGGAAGGUGGGGAUGACGUCAAGUCAUCAUGGCCCUUACGGCCUGGGCUACACACGUGCUACAAUGGUCGGUACAAAGGGUUGCCAAGCCGCGAGGUGGAGCUAAUCCCAUAAAACCGAUCGUAGUCCGGAUCGCAGUCUGCAACUCGACUGCGUGAAGUCGGAAUCGCUAGUAAUCGUGAAUCAGAAUGUCACGGUGAAUACGUUCCCGGGCCUU